Molecule: ribosomal RNA, 115 nt
Filed under: Sinocyclocheilus grahami
Lineage: Eukaryota; Metazoa; Chordata; Actinopteri; Cypriniformes; Cyprinidae
Source: RNAcentral
ACCAGCCUAUAUCACCCUCCAGCCCAAGACUGGUUGCCCACUGAAGCUAAGCAUGGUUGAGCCUGGUCAGUACCUGGAUGGGAGACCUCCUGGGAAAACUAGGUUGCUGCUGGAA